CCAUGGGCAGGUUGAAGGUUGGGUAACACUAACUGGAGGACCGAACCGACUAAUGUUGAAAAAUUAGCGGAUGACCUGUGGCUGGGGGUGAAAGGCCAAUCAAACCGGGAGAUAGCUGGUUCUCCCCGAAAGCUAUUUAGGUAGCGCCUCGUGAAUUCAUCUCCGGGGGUAGAGCACUGUUUCGGCUAGGGGGCCAUCCCGGCUUACCAACCCGAUGCAAACUGCGAAUACCGGAGAAUGUUAUCACGGGAGACACACGGCGGGUGCUAACGUCCGUCGUGAAGAGGGAAACAACCCAGACCGCCAGCUAAGGUCCCAAAGUCAUGGUUAAGUGGGAAACGAUGUGGGAAGGCCCAGACAGCCAGGAUGUUGGCUUAGAAGCAGCCAUCAUUUAAAGAAAGCGUAAUAGCUCACUGGUCGAGUCGGCCUGCGCGGAAGAUGUAACGGGGCUAAACCAUGCACCGAAGCUGCGGCAGCGACGCUGAUGCGUUGUUGGGUAGGGGAGCGUUCUGUAAGCCUGCGAAGGUGGCCUGUGAGGGUUGCUGGAGGUAUCAGAAGUGCGAAUGCUGACAUAAGUAACGAUAAAGCGGGUGAAAAGCCCGCUCGCCGGAAGACCAAGGGUUCCUGUCCAACGUUAAUCGGGGCAGGGUGAGUCGACCCCUAAGGCGAGGCCGAAAGGCGUAGUCGAUGGGAAACGGGUUAAUAUUCCCGUACUUGGUGUUACUGCGAAGGGGGGACGGAGAAGGCUAUGUUGGCCGGGCGACGGUUGUCCCGGUUUAAGCGUGUAGGUGUGUGUUCCAGGUAAAUCCGGUUCACUUUAACACUGAGGCGUGAUGACGAGGCACUACGGUGCUGAAGCAACAAAUGCCCUGCUUCCAGGAAAAGCCUCUAAGCAUCAGGUAACAUCAAAUCGUACCCCAAACCGACACAGGUGGUCAGGUAGAGAAUACCAAGGCGCUUGAGAGAACUCGGGUGAAGGAACUAGGCAAAAUGGUGCCGUAACUUCGGGAGAAGGCACGCUGACACGUAGGUGAAGUGAUUUACUCAUGGAGCUGAAGUCAGUCGAAGAUACCAGCUGGCUGCAACUGUUUAUUAAAAACACAGCACUGUGCAAACACGAAAGUGGACGUAUACGGUGUGACGCCUGCCCGGUGCCGGAAGGUUAAUUGAUGGGGUCAGCGCAAGCGAAGCUCCUGAUCGAAGCCCCGGUAAACGGCGGCCGUAACUAUAACGGUCCUAAGGUAGCGAAAUUCCUUGUCGGGUAAGUUCCGACCUGCACGAAUGGCGUAAUGAUGGCCAGGCUGUCUCCACCCGAGACUCAGUGAAAUUGAACUCGCUGUGAAGAUGCAGUGUACCCGCGGCAAGACGGAAAGACCCCGUGAACCUUUACUAUAGCUUGACACUGAACAUUGAGCCUUGAUGUGUAGGAUAGGUGGGAGGCUUUGAAGUGUGGACGCCAGUCUGCAUGGAGCCGACCUUGAAAUACCACCCUUUAAUGUUUGAUGUUCUAACGUGGACCCGUGAUCCGGGUUGCGGACAGUGUCUGGUGGGUAGUUUGACUGGGGCGGUCUCCUCCUAAAGAGUAACGGAGGAGCACGAAGGUUGGCUAAUCCUGGUCGGACAUCAGGAGGUUAGUGCAAUGGCAUAAGCCAGCUUGACUGCGAGCGUGACGGCGCGAGCAGGUGCGAAAGCAGGUCAUAGUGAUCCGGUGGUUCUGAAUGGAAGGGCCAUCGCUCAACGGAUAAAAGGUACUCCGGGGAUAACAGGCUGAUACCGCCCAAGAGUUCAUAUCGACGGCGGUGUUUGGCACCUCGAUGUCGGCUCAUCACAUCCUGGGGCUGAAGUAGGUCCCAAGGGUAUGGCUGUUCGCCAUUUAAAGUGGUACGCGAGCUGGGUUUAGAACGUCGUGAGACAGUUCGGUCCCUAUCUGCCGUGGGCGCUGGAGAACUGAGGGGGGCUGCUCCUAGUACGAGAGGACCGGAGUGGACGCAUCACUGGUGUUCGGGUUGUCAUGCCAAUGGCACUGCCCGGUAGCUAAAUGCGGAAGAGAUAAGUGCUGAAAGCAUCUAAGCACGAAACUUGCCCCGA
This 2088-nucleotide ribosomal RNA is filed under the name Salmonella enterica subsp. enterica serovar Chester. RNAcentral describes it as "partial 23S ribosomal RNA". It matches the Rfam family "Bacterial large subunit ribosomal RNA", at positions 734 to 2802 of the family's 2925-position model. Lineage: Bacteria; Pseudomonadati; Pseudomonadota; Gammaproteobacteria; Enterobacterales; Enterobacteriaceae. The record is from RNAcentral.